RNAcentral lists this ribosomal RNA (253 nucleotides) under uncultured bacterium. RNAcentral's name for it is "partial 16S ribosomal RNA". It matches the Rfam family "Bacterial small subunit ribosomal RNA", at positions 524 to 776 of the family's 1533-position model. The record is from RNAcentral.
UACGGGGGGGGCAAGCGUUGUUCGGAAUUACUGGGCGUAAAGGGCUUGUAGGUGGCCAACUAAGUCCGACGUGAAAUCCCUAGGCUUAACCUAGGAACUGCGUCGGAUACUGGAUGGCUUGAAUCCGGGAGAGGGAUGCGGAAUUCCAGGUGUAGCGGUGAAAUGCGUAGAUAUCUGGAGGAACACCGGUGGCGAAGGCGGCAUCCUGGACCGACAUUGACGCUGAACGGCGAAAGCUAGGGGAGCAAACGGG